Molecule: transfer RNA, 68 nt
Filed under: Marmota monax (woodchuck)
Lineage: Eukaryota; Metazoa; Chordata; Mammalia; Rodentia; Sciuridae
Description: tRNA.Ala
Rfam family: tRNA
About the family: Transfer RNA (tRNA) molecules are approximately 80 nucleotides in length. Their secondary structure includes four short double-helical elements and three loops (D, anti-codon, and T loops).
Source: RNAcentral
GGAUAUAGCUUAAUCAGUAGAGUGCUUGCCUUGCAUGCACAAAGCCCUGGGUUCAAUCCUCAGUACCA